This 270-nucleotide ribosomal RNA is filed under the name Triticum aestivum (bread wheat). RNAcentral's name for it is "partial small subunit ribosomal RNA". Lineage: Eukaryota; Viridiplantae; Streptophyta; Magnoliopsida; Poales; Poaceae. The record is from RNAcentral.
AUGCGAGAUUUUCGUAAUUGUUUGGGAGAUUGUGGAUUAGCAGAUAUGGGGUGUAUGGGUGACUUAUUUACAUGGAGGAGGGGCGAAAUCAGGGAAAGACUGGAUCGAGCGGUCUGUAAUGUGGAUUGGGCGAAUAAAUUCCCUCGAGCGGCGAUUAUAAACGAAGAGCAUGUACACUCAGACCAUCGCCCUAUUAUUUUAGACACGGAGUAUUUUGAUGAUAAUAUUUUUGACAGCUCAAAAACUCGAAGGAUACAAUUUGAAGCUUGA